Molecule: transfer RNA, 69 nt
Filed under: Marmota monax (woodchuck)
Lineage: Eukaryota; Metazoa; Chordata; Mammalia; Rodentia; Sciuridae
Description: tRNA.Thr
Source: RNAcentral
GAUGUAGUUCAGUGGUAGAGUAUAUGUUUAGUAUGUUUAAGGCCCUUGGUUCAAUCCCUAGGAAUAUCC